RNAcentral lists this ribosomal RNA (492 nucleotides) under uncultured bacterium. RNAcentral describes it as "partial 16S ribosomal RNA". It matches the Rfam family "Bacterial small subunit ribosomal RNA", at positions 28 to 507 of the family's 1533-position model. The record is from RNAcentral.
GAUGGACGCUAGCUACAGGCUUAACACAUGCAAGUCGAGGGGAAACGACAUCGAAAGCUUGCUUUUGAUGGGCGUCGACCGGCGCACGGGUGAGUAACGCGUAUCCAACCUGCCCACCACUUGGGGAUAACCUUGCGAAAGUAAGACUAAUACCCAAUGAUAUCUCUAGAAGACAUCUGAAAGAGAUUAAAGAUUUAUCGGUGAUGGAUGGGGAUGCGUCUGAUUAGCUUGUUGGCGGGGUAACGGCCCACCAAGGCAACGAUCAGUAGGGGUUCUGAGAGGAAGGUCCCCCACAUUGGAACUGAGACACGGUCCAAACUCCUACGGGAGGCAGCAGUGAGGAAUAUUGGUCAAUGGACGAGAGUCUGAACCAGCCAAGUAGCGUGCAGGAAGACGGCCCUAUGGGUGGUAAACUGCUUUUAGAAGGGAAUAAAGUGAGUCUCGUGAGACUUUUUGCAGGUACCUUAUGAAUAAGGACCGGCUAAUUCCGUG